Molecule: non-coding RNA, 74 nt
Organism: Leuconostoc mesenteroides subsp. mesenteroides ATCC 8293
Lineage: Bacteria; Bacillati; Bacillota; Bacilli; Lactobacillales; Lactobacillaceae
Source: Rfam
GCACCUAUAGCGCAAUUGGAUAGAGCGUCUGACUACGAAUCAGGAGGUUGCAGGUUCGACUCCUGCUAGGUGCA